UCCAAAAGUUUUGGCGAAGCGCGGUGAAUGUCGAGGCGGUACUAGAGUGAAGCUGCUUGGUAUGGGUGUCGUAGACGACGAGGGCGGUAAACGGAUGGUUUGGUGGUAGAAGGUAAGGGAACCUCGCUUGUUCUGUAAGGGGUGCGUUAUGGAGCCUUCCAUCGCAGCGAAUGGAACCUUUCUCGUCGAUAAACAAACGCAGUUGUCUCACUAGUG
Non-coding RNA from Paramuricea clavata, 216 nucleotides. Lineage: Eukaryota; Metazoa; Cnidaria; Anthozoa; Malacalcyonacea; Plexauridae. The record is from the annotation of a GenBank genome assembly.